CACACUAUCAUUAACUGAAUCCAUAGGUUAAUGAGGCGAACCGGGGGAACUGAAACAUCUAAGUACCCCGAGGAAAAGAAAUCAACCGAGAUUCCCCCAGUAGCGGCGAGCGAACGGGGAGGAGCCCAGAGCCUGAAUCAGUGUGUGUGUUAGUGGAAGCGUCUGGAAAGGCGCGCGAUACAGGGUGACAGCCCCGUACACAAAAAUGCACAUGCUGUGAGCUCGAUGAGUAGGGCGGGACACGUGGUAUCCUGUCUGAAUAUGGGGGGACCAUCCUCCAAGGCUAAAUACUCCUGACUGACCGAUAGUGAACCAGUACCGUGAGGGAAAGGCGAAAAGAACCCCGGCGAGGGGAGUGAAAAAGAACCUGAAACCGUGUACGUACAAGCAGUGGGAGCCUCUUUUAUGGGGUGACUGCGUACCUUUUGUAUAAUGGGUCAGCGACUUAUAUUCUGUAGCAAGGUUAACCGAAUAGGGGAGCCGAAGGGAAACCGAGUCUUAACUGGGCGUUAAGUUGCAGGGUAUAGACCCGAAACCCGGUGAUCUAGCCAUGGGCAGGUUGAAGGUUGGGUAACACUAACUGGAGGACCGAACCGACUAAUGUUGAAAAAUUAGCGGAUGACUUGUGGCUGGGGGUGAAAGGCCAAUCAAACCGGGAGAUAGCUGGUUCUCCCCGAAAGCUAUUUAGGUAGCGCCUCGUGAAUUCAUCUCCGGGGGUAGAGCACUGUUUCGGCAAGGGGGUCAUCCCGACUUACCAACCCGAUGCAAACUGCGAAUACCGGAGAAUGUUAUCACGGGAGACACACGGCGGGUGCUAACGUCCGUCGUGAAGAGGGAAACAACCCAGACCGCCAGCUAAGGUCCCAAAGUCAUGGUUAAGUGGGAAACGAUGUGGGAAGGCCCAGACAGCCAGGAUGUUGGCUUAGAAGCAGCCAUCAUUUAAAGAAAGCGUAAUAGCUCACUGGUCGAGUCGGCCUGCGCGGAAGAUGUAACGGGGCUAAACCAUGCACCGAAGCUGCGGCAGCGACGCUUAUGCGUUGUUGGGUAGGGGAGCGUUCUGUAAGCCUGUGAAGGUGUACUGUGAGGUAUGCUGGAGGUAUCAGAAGUGCGAAUGCUGACAUAAGUAACGAUAAAGCGGGUGAAAAGCCCGCUCGCCGGAAGACCAAGGGUUCCUGUCCAACGUUAAUCGGGGCAGGGUGAGUCGACCCCUAAGGCGAGGCCGAAAGGCGUAGUCGAUGGGAAACAGGUUAAUAUUCCUGUACUUGGUGUUACUGCGAAGGGGGGACGGAGAAGGCUAUGUUGGCCGGGCGACGGUUGUCCCGGUUUAAGCGUGUAGGCUGGUUUUCCAGGCAAAUCCGGAAAAUCAAGGCUGAGGCGUGAUGACGAGGCACUACGGUGCUGAAGCAACAAAUGCCCUGCUUCCAGGAAAAGCCUCUAAGCAUCAGGUAACAUCAAAUCGUACCCCAAACCGACACAGGUGGUCAGGUAGAGAAUACCAAGGCGCUUGAGAGAACUCGGGUGAAGGAACUAGGCAAAAUGGUGCCGUAACUUCGGGAGAAGGCACGCUGAUAUGUAGGUGAAGCGACUUGCUCGUGGAGCUGAAAUCAGUCGAAGAUACCAGCUGGCUGCAACUGUUUAUUAAAAACACAGCACUGUGCAAACACGAAAGUGGACGUAUACGGUGUGACGCCUGCCCGGUGCCGGAAGGUUAAUUGAUGGGGUUAGCGGUAACGCGAAGCUCUUGAUCGAAGCCCCGGUAAACGGCGGCCGUAACUAUAACGGUCCUAAGGUAGCGAAAUUCCUUGUCGGGUAAGUUCCGACCUGCACGAAUGGCGUAAUGAUGGCCAGGCUGUCUCCACCCGAGACUCAGUGAAAUUGAACUCGCUGUGAAGAUGCAGUGUACCCGCGGCAAGACGGAAAGACCCCGUGAACCUUUACUAUAGCUUGACACUGAACAUUGAGCCUUGAUGUGUAGGAUAGGUGGGAGGCUUUGAAGUGUGGACGCCAGUCUGCAUGGAGCCGGCCUUGAAAUACCACCCUUUAAUGUUUGAUGUUCUAACGUUGGCCCCUGAUCGGGGUUGCGGACAGUGUCUGGUGGGUAGUUUGACUGGGGCGGUCUCCUCCUAAAGAGUAACGGAGGAGCACGAAGGUUGGCUAAUCCUGGUCGGACAUCAGGAGGUUAGUGCAAUGGCAUAAGCCAGCUUGACUGCGAGCGUGACGGCGCGAGCAGGUGCGAAAGCAGGUCAUAGUGAUCCGGUGGUUCUGAAUGGAAGGGCCAUCGCUCAACGGAUAAAAGGUACUCCGGGGAUAACAGGCUGAUACCGCCCAAGAGUUCAUAUCGACGGCGGUGUUUGGCACCUCGAUGUCGGCUCAUCACAUCCUGGGGCUGAAGUAGGUCCCAAGGGUAUGGCUGUUCGCCAUUUAAAGUGGUACGCGAGCUGGGUUUAGAACGUCGUGAGACAGUUCGGUCCCUAUCUGCCGUGGGCGCUGGAGAACUGAGGGGGGCUGCUCCUAGUACGAGAGGACCGGAGUGGACGCAUCACUGGUGUUCGGGUUGUCAUGCCAAUGGCACUGCCCGGUAGCUAAAUGCGGAAGAGAUAAGUGCUGAAAGCAUCUAAGCACGAAACUUGCCCCGAGAUGAGUUCUCCCUGAGACUUUAAGUCUCCUGAAGGAACGUUGAAGACGACGACGUUGAUAGGCCGGGUGUGUAAGCGCAGCGAUGCGUUGAGCUAACCGGUACUAAUGAACCGUGAGGCUUAACCUU
Molecule: ribosomal RNA, 2764 nt
Filed under: Escherichia coli
Lineage: Bacteria; Pseudomonadati; Pseudomonadota; Gammaproteobacteria; Enterobacterales; Enterobacteriaceae
Description: partial 23S ribosomal RNA
Rfam family: Bacterial large subunit ribosomal RNA
Source: RNAcentral